This 973-nucleotide long non-coding RNA is filed under the name Gallus gallus (chicken). Lineage: Eukaryota; Metazoa; Chordata; Aves; Galliformes; Phasianidae. The record is from RNAcentral.
CACUAAUGCCAAAGUCACAGAGUUUAAUAUUUCCAUUUCUGUCCAGAAGAAUAUUGGAAGGUUUGAUAUCUCUGUGAAUGAUUUUCAAGUUUUCUUUUAAGUGGUUUAGUGCUUUCACAGUAGCUAAAGUGAUUUUGCCUAGGAUUUCUUCUGGAAUAACAUCAUCUAAUACACUAUAUACAUAUUUGUAAAACUUAUCAAACGAGGUAGACAUGAGCUCCAUACAGAUCCAACAGUCACCCUCUCUGAAGAGUGCACCAUAAAACUGAACAAUAUAUGGGCAGUCACUGCUUCGCAUUACUACAUCAAGGUCCAUCAGAAGCUGCUUCUGUUCUUUUUCAUCCACUGUCGAUCGAAUUCUUUUAACUGCCAUAAUUUGCCCACUUGGUUUGUGGACCAUUUUGUUGACAGAACCAUAAGCGCCUCGUCCAAUUUCUCCAAGGUCUUUCAAGUCCUCUGCUGUAAAAUCCCAAUGCUGUUCAGGGGAAAUCUUCAAUUUUCCUGAUGAUUCAAUGCUGUGUGUUCUCAGUCUCUCUAUGUGUGGAUUUUGGAAAGGAACUCCUGAGGUGUUCAGAGUAAACCUUGCCGUGGACUUGAAAGGUGGAUUUGCAAAAUUUAACUUCAGCGCUUUGCGUUUACCCUGCAUGCUGCUGACGGCCGCGUGCGCCGGCGGCCCGCCCGGGCCCGGCCCGCUCCCGCCGCCCGAGCCGGAGCCGCUGCUGGGGCUGGGAGUCGCCAUUGUGUGCGCUAGAGACGGAGCGGCGCGGAGGCUGCAAUGCAGCAGGGACCCUCCCAGGCAGGACACCUAGAGCCCCGCCGCCGUAUAGCAGGCGCCGGAGCCUCCCCGUCCGCCGUCCGCCCCCGGGCUGAGGCUCCCGCUUAACCCCUCCCAGGCGGGGCGCCCGCGGCCGCCCAGGCUACGUUCCGCGGCGGCGGCGCGGGCCCGGGCCGCUGCCUUCCCCGUGAGGCCGAC